CAACUAGCUCUACAAAGGAGGUUCCCAAACAAGCCCAGUAGUUCGGAGGAAGGCAAAAGUUCUUGGAGCUUGAUUUGGUAUCUGCAGAUUCCAGAGAAAGUGAAAAUUUUUAUAUGGAGGGCAGCAAAUAACGUGUUACCUACAGCAGAGAAUUUAUGGAAGAAAAGAGUAUUGCAAACCCCUUGGUGUCAGAGACGCAUGAGUUAUGAAGAGUCAACCUUUCACUCCCUGUUUGAAUGUAAAGCCUCGCGGAAGAUUUGGAAACUCACAUCUUUUGCAAAUGAACUGAAGACUCUAAAGUAUAGAGAUGUUUUAAGUCUACCAUCAGUUGUGGCUGAACAACGAAACAAGACUGAAAUGGAGCUGAUAGUUGCCUUAUGUUGGAGCAUAUGGCACACAAGGAAUCUGUUUAUUUUCAAGAACAAAAAAGAAGACUCACAGUUAUCAGUAGCUGAAGCUGAGGCAAUUGUUCAGUCCUAUAGAAGAAUUCAAAUGCCACAAAUGCAAGAAAUAGCAUAUCAGAAUUCGGCAUUCCAGAAGCAUUGGAAGAGCCCCCCUGCAGGUUGGUUUAAGGUAAACGUUGAUGCAGCUGUAAACAUAGACCAACAAAGAGUAGGCUUGGGUAUUGUGAUCAGAAAUGCAGAAGGCAAACUUGUAGCAGUAGUUAUAAAGCCUACAAAAUGCUUUGAUAAAGUUGACUAUCCAGAAGCUGAAGCAACUAAGUUCGGGCUGGAAGUAGCUGAAGACAAAGGAUGCUUACCGUUAAUUGUUGAGACUGAUUCAAAGGAAGUAGUAGACUUGGUCUCAGCAAGGAAAAAGUCAAAGGCAGAAAUUUUUUAGGUAGUAUCUGAGAUCCAAGAGACGAUGAAGAGAUUGAAACAUGUCAAUAUUCAACACACACCAUGAGCCUGUAACGAAUUUGCUCACAUUCUUGCAAAGUUAGUUUUAGACUACAAUGAUUGUAUAUG
This 968-nucleotide long non-coding RNA is filed under the name Citrus sinensis (sweet orange). RNAcentral's name for it is "long non-coding RNA (CSIN_LNC000887)". Lineage: Eukaryota; Viridiplantae; Streptophyta; Magnoliopsida; Sapindales; Rutaceae. The record is from RNAcentral.